RNAcentral lists this ribosomal RNA (260 nucleotides) under uncultured bacterium. Its description in RNAcentral is "partial 16S ribosomal RNA". It matches the Rfam family "Bacterial small subunit ribosomal RNA", at positions 793 to 1055 of the family's 1533-position model. The record is from RNAcentral.
GUCCACGCCGUAAACGAUGAGUGCUAGGUGUUGGGGAGGAAUCCUCGGUGCCGCAGCUAACGCAAUAAGCACUCCACCUGGGGAGUACGACCGCAAGGUUGAAACUCAAAGGAAUUGACGGGGGCCCGCACAAGCGGUGGAGCAUGUGGUUUAAUUCGAAGCAACGCGAAGAACCUUACCAAGGCUUGACAUCCCGAUGACCGCUCUAGAGAUAGAGCUUCUCUUCGGAGCAUCGGUGACAGGUGGUGCAUGGUUGUCGU